AGCCGAAGCCGGCCCUGCCGCCGCCGGAGCAGCCGCCGCCGGAGCAGCCCCGCCCGAGCCGAAGUCGGCCCUGCCGCCGCCGGAGCAGCCCCGCCGGAGCAGCCGCCGCCGGAGCAGCCCCGCCGGAGCAGCCCCCGCCCGAGCCGAAGCCGGCCCUGCCGCCGCCGGAGCAGCCGCCGCCGGAGCAGCCGCCGCCGGAGCAGCCCCGCCGGAGCAGCCCCCGCCCGAGCCGAAAAGCCGUCCGAGCCGAAGCCGGCCAAGCAGAAGCCGGCGCUGCCGCUGCCGGAGCAGCCCCCGGCCGAGCCGAAGCCGGCCAAGCAGAAGCCGGCGCUGCCGCCUCCCGAGCAGCCGCCGCCGGAGCAGCCGCCUCCCGAGCAGCCGCCGCCGGAGCAGCCGCCGCCCGAGCCGAAGCCGGCCGAGCAGAAGACCACCCAUCCUCAGUGUGUUGAACUGCGAGUCUUCUACGCUGGUUUUCAACGAAUACUUGCUCCAUCUGGCUUGANGAUGUCAAAGUAGAGUUUAAACCAGUCAUCAUGAAAAUUACUGAUAAACCUGACACAGGAAGGUAAAUUUCCAACUGCAAAGUUUAUAGCCAUAUAGAUUCACUAGUUUGUCAGGUAAGUAAAAAUUAUGAAAAGACUUGUGUGGACCCAUUUCUCAGGUCCACCUUUAAUGUACCUUGCAGUGUGGACUGGAAAGUCCACCCAUGAAACUUGAUUAAUUAUACUGACUAUAAUGGUCAAUUAUACCUCUAUGUUGAUGCUAUGGUAAACAGGCUGUCUGGGAGUAUCUAUUGAGAAGAAGACAGUAUAUAAGAAACCUAAACCAGCCAAUUCUGCUUGUCCUUAGAAAUUAGACUACCUAUCUGGACAAUUGUCAUGAAGAUUAUUAAAACAGAAUUUUCCUAUACAGGCAAGUUAUUUACAUAAAAUAUCCACCAAUGUAUUAUUGUCUUAAUCAUUCUACAAUAGAAGUUGACACCUUUUCUAAGUGGAUAGAUUAUGCAAAUGUCUUGUCAACACAACACAAGAUGUCUAGAAAUAAUGGAUAUAUUAGGUUAGUCUCCUAAAAUGGACAAGAACAAUUACAUGAGGAUGCUGUAAUUCUUAGAAUCUCUAACCCUCAGAAAGAUGACACCCAAAAGGAUGUUUUGAUGUUUGACUUCUACCUUCAGAAGAUUACAUUACUGAUAACCUAAUAAACUCCUUAAAUGUGAGAAUUAAGAGAAAAGAUGAUGAAUAUCCUGUAGCCUGCAAGAAUACAACUUAUCUUAUUGAAUCACUAGUUAUUGCCAGCUAAUAUUUCAGAGCUAUAAUAUGCUGAAGUUAAUGUACAGACUUUGAAACAGGUGCAUGUCAAUUAGCCAGACCUAGGCAAGCUGCUGGUCUCAUCAACCUUGAAGUGACUACUUUAAAUAUUAUUCCUAGCUUCCACAAUUACAGCCUUUAUGGCUAUAUCUUAAAACUUACUGUGGGUAACCAUUCUCGCACGUGAUUGGGCACCUCCCGGAUUGGGUGUGAGGUGUUCUGGCCAAACUGUGUCAGAGCUUUCCCCACCCUCUCCAGGUGCGAGAGCCUGUCCACGUGGGGAUGUGACUGACCACUGACCCUGAGGCCAAUCACUGACCCUGACCUUGGAAUGCUGCCCCCUUGACCUUCAUUGGAUGGAAUUUUCCCCUGAAUUUCUUGUUCCCCAAUAAAAGGCCACUCCCUGGCAUGCUCUCUCUCUCUCCUGCGAGCCCUGAGUAAGCCUUGCUGCCCCACCGGGUGGUUUGAGGUGUGAGCCAGAGAGGUGAGUGCCGUCUCGGACCUGGUCAUAGAAAAAGGUAAUUGAGUCUGUGUGUUUUAUUUUGAUCUCACUAGUUAACUUCUAUGCCAGGAACCUCUUUAAUGAAACCAGUGUACUGGUCGCCUGGUGGAACUUACAACAGAUAGACUUUCUUAAUUUGACUUAAGUUACUUCAAAGAUCCUUCAUAGUCAGAUAAGUGCAGAUGGAAGGAUGAGGCUAAAUUAAAAUGCUCUAAAAGACAAUGUAAUAAAUAUUGUGAAUGAGCCCUCUGCUCUAUGGUUUGUGGAAAGGCUUAUAUGCCAUGGCAAAUAAAAAUGUCUGUGUUACUAUGGCCAAAUGCAAUGCGUCCCAAUAAAGUUGGGAAAAGAUUAAGAAUCUUCUGAUGAGAGUUUGGCAAAGUAAUAAUAAUAACCUGGAUCUUCCAAGUUAUUGUGUUAUUGAAAUGAUAUGUUUUCUACAAAUUCCUUUUGUGUUUCAAUAGUAGAUCAUAAUGACCUUGGAAGAAGAAUCCAGUGACUAAGAGAUAUAAUUCCCAAUUGCCUUUAAAUAUUAAGAAAGGGGGAAUAUGUGGGGAGCCACUCUGAAUGAUUCAUGCCUUCCAUCCUGAAGCAAGAGACUUUGACAGGUCACUGCAUUUCACAUUGUCCCAGUCCAGGAAGUUGAGGGCCUGUUUUUAAACUUAGGCAGUCACCGAUGGAGUUGAGCUAUACUCACCUAUUGCUUUGUAAUACUAUGCCUUUUCCCUGUUUGGAUUGAAUGUUCCAUGAAAUCACCCUUUGAGUGUCCCCUUCUCUUGCUCUGCCUUUGGGUGUGGCCUUCCUAGAUGUCAGUCAACCUGCUGACAGCAGACAUCAGGAAGCUAGACUCAACCCCCUGAAACCUGACACCUUGCCUUAUUUGAAUGGCUUCUCCUUAAUAAAAUGGUUCUUUCAGCACAUGCUCUCUCUCUCUCUUUUCCUGCAGACCCUUAAGUUCAGAAGAGCCGUCACAGGACCCCAAAGAAAAAGGUAUCUUUGUCUCUUGUGUGAUGAUUUCAUGCAGCCCAGUUCCCCUGGAGUGACCCUGAAUGUUUUAGUCAUGAGGAACAUGACAUUCUGGGGUGAAUCUCACUUGGUCCUAGUAUAUAAUUUAGUGAAUGUUCUGUUGAAUUUGCUCUACCAGUAUUUUGUUAAGGAUUUUUGUGGCUGCAGACAUGAGGUAUAUUGGUCUGUAUCUAUAGUUUUUGUUGUGGUUUUUGUAAUACUAUAGAAAAUUUACAGUCUGGCCUAUUUGAAGGUCAUCCAAGUUGUGUUUAGAAUGCUGCUUCUCAGACAGGAAAGCGAAAGCUGAGCAGAAGUCCCACCAUAAUUCUUUUCUGUGAACCUGAACCUGCUCUUCCUUGCUGCUCCAGGGAUGGACCCACACAUUGACCAAUCACUGUGGGAGGCCAGGCCUUAGCACUCAGCCUGUCACCUGGUACCAUUAGUCCUGGACCAAAUCCUGUGUGGAAAAGCCACAGCAGUUCUCACUUGCAUUCAUUGCAGAUUUUCAUCAUUGAUGUGUCCUCUAUCAAAUGAGGUCCUCUAUAGAGACACCCUGAACACACCAGUGUGUUUAUGUAACAGCUUCCUUGACUUCCCUCCUUGUGGCACAGAUAGACACACCUCAGCAGCCGCAGGGUUCCUUGGUGGGUAGGGAGCAGAUGUGGCCAUCUACCCCCUCUACAUGGAAGUUACUGAGAGCUCUAGUUCUGGGCAUUUCCAACAGUGCUGGCAGGAUAAGUACCUAGUUUUGGACAUGCUGGAUGAAGGAAGGGACACACGCUAAGGACUUGGAAGGGUGCUGCCAAACGAUUCUGAGGAUUAUCCAUGGCCACAUCUCUCAGGGGAUCUGCCCAGGCCUCUAUCUCCUGUCUUCUCACCAGGGCUGUUCAGCAGUAUUUUCAGUGAGACUCCAUCUCAAAAAAGGAAAUAACUGGAGAUGUGGCAUAGUGUUAAAGUGCCCCUGGGUUUAAUCCCUAGUACUUAAAUAAUACAAAACAAACAAAUAAAACAAAAAUAAGCAAAUAAUACAAAUCCUACAAAACUUAGGUCUACAUGGGAUUUACUGUUCCAAGCAAAUUCAAGUGUAAACAUUCAAGUGUAAACAGUCCCUUCCACUACUAUAUGGUCAAACAGAAGCUGGACUGCAGUGAUGUGAAAAACCCAGAGGAGGCAAACCCCAGGGAGAGAAUAAUGACUGUUCCCUGGAGACUAGCAGGAGGGAGAAGGGGAGGGAGUGGGUACGGGUACCAGAUACAAGACAAGGGAUGCAGUUAAGCCAAUAAGCUGAUGUUUUUUUUAAAAAUAGUCUUAAAUCUUAAAAUCAGGUAGUUUGAAGAAAAAUACAAAAAGAGGGAAAAGGCAGCUCUGGGGCCGAAAUGGGUGCAAGGGGGAGCUCAGUAGGUGGUGCAGAGGUGGGGCCACUAGGAGGUACAGGCCUGAAGUUGCUGUUGAAGGUGGUUCUGACCCUGGUGCUCUCUCAGGUGGUGGAGGUGGUAAUGUAAGUUGAGCUGGGGUUUCUUAUCUCUUCCUUUAUCCUAACUUAUAAUGUAUGCAUGUUUCUAAGUGCUUCAUUAUUCUUUUUGGCUUAUUGUUGAUAUUACCAUAAAAUAUGUGUACUCUUCUGUUCGGCACUAGUGUUGAGACUUACCAGCCUGAUGACAUGGAGCUAGAUAUUGAUAUUUUCUCCUGUGGGAUGUGUUUCCUAUUACUAAGCAAAUUUAUCUUUUCUCUAGCCAUUGAAGUUAAGAGCUUUUAUAAAUAUAUGUGUGUGUGUGUGUAUAUAUA
Molecule: long non-coding RNA, 4596 nt
Filed under: Marmota monax (woodchuck)
Lineage: Eukaryota; Metazoa; Chordata; Mammalia; Rodentia; Sciuridae
Source: RNAcentral